GAAAGUAAGAAAGGGCGUACGGUGGAUGCCUAGGCUCUUGCAGGCGAUGAAGGACGUGAUAAGCUGCGAUAAGCUCCGGGUAGAUGCAAAUGAUCUUUGAUCCGGAGAUUUCCGAAUGGGACAACCCGGCAGGCUGAAGGCCUGUCAUCCGAUAUUUCGGAGGCGAACGUGGGGAACUGAAACAUCUUAGUACCCACAGGAAGAGAAAAUAACAAUGAUUCCCCAAGUAGUGGCGAGCGAACGGGGAAGAGCCCAAACCUGGGGUGUUACGGCACCUCAGGGGUUGUAGGACUGCGACACCGCAAGAAAUCAUGCGAGGAGAACGGUUUGGAAAAUCCGGCCAUAGAGGGUGACAGCCCCUUAUCCGAAGUAUGACGAAGCGCAGCAGUAUCCUGAGUAGCGCGGGACACGAGAAAUCCUGUGUGAAUCCGGCGGGCCCAUCCGCCAAGGCUAAAUACUCGCAAGAGACCGAUAGCGAACCAGUACCGUGAGGGAAAGGUGAAAAGCACUGCGAAGAGCAGAGUGAAAUAGUUCCUGAAACCGUACGCCUACAAGCGGUCGGAGCAUCUUAAUGAUGUGACGGCGUGCCUUUUGCAUAAUGAACCUACGAGUUGUCGUCACGGGCGAGGUUAAGUACAAUGAUGUACGCAGCCGAAGCGAAAGCGAGUCUUAACAGGGCGGAUAGUCCGUGGCGGCAGACGCGAAACCAAGUGAUCUACCCUUGUCCAGGUUGAAGUCCGGGUAACACCGGAUGGAGGACCGAACCAAUAAGCGUUGAAAAGCUUCUGGAUGAGGUGAGGGUAGGAGUGAAAGGCCAAUCAAACUUGGAGAUAGCUCGUACUCCCCGAAAUGCAUUUAGGUGCAGCCUCGGCUGUUCCCUUCCAGAGGUAGAGCGACUGAUCGGAUGCGAGGGCUUCACCGCCUAUCAAGUCCGGACAAACUCCGAAUGCUGGAAGGCCACAGGCCGGGAGUGAGGGCAUGGGUGCUAAGGUCCGUGCCCGAGAGGAGAAGAAUCCAGACCGUCGGCUAAGGCCCCGAAAUAUGGGUUAAGUUAAACUAACGAAGUUCGGUCCCAGUGACAGCUAGGAUGUUGGCUUGGAAGCAGCCAUUCAUUCAAAGAGUGCGUAACAGCUCACUAGUCGAGGGACUGUGCGUGGAUAAUAAUCGGGUAUGAAACCCAUUGCCGAAGCCACGGGAUUCGUAAGAAUCGGUAGGGGAGCAUUCCAACGGCGCGGAAGAUGAGGGAUGACCCUUGUUGGAGCUUUUGGAAAAGCAAAUGUAGGUAUAAGUAACGAUAAAGAGUGUGAGAUGCACUCUCGCCGAAAGACUAAGGUUUCCCGGGCAACGUUAAUCGGCCCGGGGUCAGUCGGGACCUAAGGUUCAUCCGAACGGAGAGACCGAUGGCAGAAAGGGUUAAUAUUCCCUUACUACCUUUCAUGGCGAUGUGGAGACGGAGAAGUGACACUUCCGCGUGCUGACGGAAUAGCACGUUGAAGGGUGUAGGCGUUGAUCGCGGCAGGCAAAUCCACCGCGAGAGCCGAACCUGAGAGUACAUGAAGCCUUCGGGUGGAAUGAUAGUGAAGGUAAGCAUGCUCCCGAGAAAAUCCGCUAAGCUUAACAUGAGAGGUACCCGUACCGCAAACGGACACACGUAGUCGGGUUGAAAAUACUAAGGCGCUUGGAAGAUUCACGGUUAAGGAACUAGGCAAAUUGACCCCGUAACUUCGGGAGAAGGGGUCCUCACAGCGAUGUGAGGCGCAGAGAAUAGGUCCAGGCAACUGUUUAGCAAAAACACAGGGCUGUGCGAAAUCGAAAGAUGAAGUAUACAGUCUGACACCUGCCCGGUGCCGGAAGGUUAAGAGGAGAUGUCACCGCAAGGGAAGCAUUGAAUUGAAGCCCCGGUAAACGGCGGCCGUAACUAUAACGGUCCUAAGGUAGCGAAAUUCCUUGUCGGGUAAGUUCCGACCU
Molecule: ribosomal RNA, 1968 nt
Filed under: feces metagenome
Description: bacterial LSU rRNA
Rfam family: Bacterial large subunit ribosomal RNA
Source: RNAcentral